RNAcentral lists this ribosomal RNA (451 nucleotides) under uncultured bacterium. RNAcentral describes it as "partial 16S ribosomal RNA". It matches the Rfam family "Bacterial small subunit ribosomal RNA", at positions 354 to 796 of the family's 1533-position model. The record is from RNAcentral.
GUGGGGAAUAUUGGACAAUGGGGGGAACCCUGAUCCAGCCAUGCCGCGUGUGUGAAGAAGGCCUUUUGGUUGUAAAGCACUUUAAGCGAGGAGGAGGCUACCGAGAUUAAUACUCUUGGAUAGUGGACGUUACUCGCAGAAUAAGCACCGGCUAACUCUGUGCCAGCAGCCGCGGUAAUACAGAGGGUGCAAGCGUUAAUCGGAUUUACUGGGCGUAAAGCGCGCGUAGGUGGCCAAUUAAGUCAAAUGUGAAAUCCCCGAGCUUAACUUGGGAAGUGCAUUCGAUACUGGUUGGCUAGAGUAUGGGAGAGGAUGGUAGAAUUCCAGGUGUAGCGGUGAAAUGCGUAGAGAUCUGGAGGAAUACCGAUGGCGAAGGCAGCCAUCUGGCCUAAUACUGACACUGAGGUGCGAAAGCAUGGGGAGCAAACAGGAUUAGAUACCCUAGUAGUCC